Small nuclear RNA from Piliocolobus tephrosceles (Ugandan red Colobus), 107 nucleotides. The record is from Ensembl. NCBI's taxonomy places the organism in Eukaryota, Metazoa, Chordata, Mammalia, Primates, Cercopithecidae.
GUACUCACUUUGGCAGCACAUAUAUUAAAACUGGAAAGAUGCAGAGAAGAUUAGCACGGCCCUUGCACAAGGGUGACAUGCAAAUUCAUGAAGCAUUCCAUAUUUUA